CUUGCGCUGUUGCCAGUUGAAUUGCUAUCACAUGAGAGUUUUUUAUCAGGUCAUAGACAGGAAUAAGAAAGGACGAUUGAAAACAUUCUAAUUCGUCGCCUAGUUCUAGGUCUCUCCGGUUACGUCUUACAAAGAAGGUAGUGCUGUAAGGUGAACGGUGAAAUGGACUCUUUGAAACAAAUAAGUGACAAAGUGGUGAUGCAGUUAAAAGACGAGCAUUCAAAGUUAACCAAAGUACUUUUUUUUCUAGCCGUCAACAAAUUUAAAACAAAUUGCAUCAAGGUUCUGAAAUGUAAUUUGGAUAACGAUAAGGAAUUUCGUAAAUUGGUCGACUUCCUAGUAGAAGAUAUCAACAAGCUAGAACAAAACCCCGAAUACCAAAUGGCUGAAAUUUGGGUAGAUUUCGAACAACUUAAUCCAAGUCAACGUGUUGAGAAAGGCCAACGGUUUGAUUUCCAACUCCUUCUUGCCAAAAAAGAACGAUUUGAGCUAAUAUUUACAUGCAUGGUCGUCAGUAUCUUGAUGAGGCUGAGUAUACUAACCCCUGAGAUGUUGUCAAAAAUACUACCGACUUUACUACAAGGAAACCUAACCGUUAAUAUUCCGUUCAAAGACAUCAUAAAUAUAGCACAAGAACUGUCCGGAGAACGGUACGAAGUCACCGCAGGCUUUGGCUAUUUUGUUUAUGAUGCUUGGCAAUACAAGAAACGAUGGCACAGUUCUGAAAUAUCUGGAAUCCGUUGUAUCAAGAAAACUGUAGACAGUUUCGCCGAGCUGGGAGCUGCAGUAACGGGGGUCUAUGGAGGAGAAUUCUUCGGCAGCGCCAUUGCAAAUACUAGAAUCGUCCACUUAGCCGGAGGAGUCAGCGGGGGCUUGGCUUCUGCUGUCUUGGGUGGAACGCUUUGCGAUUGGUUCACUCAGCAGUUUUUCAAUCUACCGAAAGACGAAUCACUAGAAAAUGCAUUUCGCUUUCUUGAGUUACCAUGGACGGCAUCAAACAACGACAUCAAUUUAAGCUACAUCCGCUUGGCCCACCAAUAUUAUGGGGAUGUUGAAAACUGGAGAAAACUCACUUCUUUCCAACGUAUUAUAAUUUCAUGAAAGUUUCCCUAACUAAGCAGUCAUUCCCUCCUAUCUCCACCCACCACUAUAGUGCUCGUUCUUUAGUUCUAGAUUGGUUGUAAACCAGGUACAACAUGCUGAAUGAGGGACAUCAAUAAACGUUGGAAACGAAACAUUUUGUCGUCUGCUUUGUCAUUCGGCCCCUUUUCCUGAAACAGAAACAAUUGAGCAGGGUAACAAAGACAGAAAACUUAUAUAAAAAGGAAACAGAGGGGGGGAAGGUGUUAUGAAUGGCUGUUAGGCAGUAUACCAGCGGCUCUAACGUCAGAGUAAAUAGUCGAAGUAGUCGAAAGGAACUGCUUUGUUAAGUUAAGACGACGCAACUGGUUUUAGAAGCCUUUUCAACAAGUGGGCCGCUUGCUAAAAAAAAAAUUUAAUCUUUGUAUACAGUCAUUUGAUCGAUUCAAGGGCUCAGCCAUAGUCAGACCAGUGAAAAUCAUCAAUGGAAUCGGAUCAGUUGAUGCACAUCCUUCUUUGGAUGAAGAGGCCCAAGCCGCCCAACCUCAACUCAAGUGUGUAACCUUUUCGUACGCUGUAAAACGUAGGCGUGUAAUUCUUACAACGAGAAAAAUGCAGACGAGAAAACACACAGCCAUUAAAUGGUGUGCUUUCAUUUUCAUUUUUAUCAUUGGGGUUAUUGGGACAGUUAUCUUGGCUGUUUCUCUACGAAUCGUUUUUGACAAUGAUUAUAGCUAUUUACUAUUCCACGGAAGCGGGAGCUACCUAGCCGGAUACGUGUUGGUGGCGACAGGAGUGUCAUUGAUGAUCGUCAGUUCCAUUGGAUGUACUGGGGUUGCUAAAGGAAAUCCUCCUCUUCUCGGUUUGAGCGUCUUUUGUUUCGUUCUCCUUGUGACAGUUCAGGUAACAUUUGGUCGAGUUGCUUACAACGAACUGGCUCCGUUUCACGAAAAAGUUCACCUCGGUAUUUUCUGGGCCAUUCAGCGUCACUAUGGCAAUGACAUUGCGAACACCACUG
Daphnia magna is the source of this 2098-nucleotide RNA transcript. It is a transcript of the gene named tetraspanin-7, with no coding region annotated. NCBI's taxonomy places the organism in Eukaryota, Metazoa, Arthropoda, Branchiopoda, Diplostraca, Daphniidae. The transcript has 4 exons. The record is from RefSeq and is a predicted model, not a curated record.